AUGCAUGGGUUUCAAACAUCAGGAUCUCUUAUUCAAAUAUUUGAAUUCAACUUUCACUACUGGAAUCAGGAUCUUUGCCUUCAGCCAGACCAGCGGCUGGACGCGGUGCAUUGGAUCCGGCAGGCGGUGGGGCUCGCCUGCGGCCUACUCUGGGGCACCGUCCCCCUCGUUGGCGCCUUUUGGAUCGCCCUCAACAAGCAUCGCAGUGGUUAUGCGCUUUCUCUGGUAUUAGAUUUUUUUUACUGGACCUUCCUUUUUGGUUGGAUAUUGGUUAUAUACGUGACUGAUUCAUAA
RNAcentral lists this ribosomal RNA (294 nucleotides) under Triticum aestivum (bread wheat). RNAcentral describes it as "partial small subunit ribosomal RNA". The record is from RNAcentral. Lineage: Eukaryota; Viridiplantae; Streptophyta; Magnoliopsida; Poales; Poaceae.